RNAcentral lists this ribosomal RNA (971 nucleotides) under Corynebacterium accolens ATCC 49726. RNAcentral describes it as "bacterial SSU rRNA". It matches the Rfam family "Bacterial small subunit ribosomal RNA", at positions 8 to 990 of the family's 1533-position model. The record is from RNAcentral. Lineage: Bacteria; Bacillati; Actinomycetota; Actinomycetes; Mycobacteriales; Corynebacteriaceae.
AGAGUUUGAUCCUGGCUCAGGACGAACGCUGGCGGCGUGCUUAACACAUGCAAGUCGAACGGAAAGGCCCUGCUUGCAGGGUACUCGAGUGGCGAACGGGUGAGUAACACGUGGGUGAUCUGCCCUGCACUUCGGGAUAAGCUUGGGAAACUGGGUCUAAUACCGGAUAGGACCGCACUUUAGUGUGUGUGGUGGAAAGUUUUUUCGGUGUAGGAUGAGCUCGCGGCCUAUCAGCUUGUUGGUGGGGUAAUGGCCUACCAAGGCGGCGACGGGUAGCCGGCCUGAGAGGGUGUACGGCCACAUUGGGACUGAGAUACGGCCCAGACUCCUACGGGAGGCAGCAGUGGGGAAUAUUGCACAAUGGGCGCAAGCCUGAUGCAGCGACGCCGCGUGGGGGAUGAAGGCCUUCGGGUUGUAAACUCCUUUCGCUAGGGACGAAGCUUUUUGUGACGGUACCUAGAUAAGAAGCACCGGCUAACUACGUGCCAGCAGCCGCGGUAAUACGUAGGGUGCGAGCGUUGUCCGGAAUUACUGGGCGUAAAGGGCUCGUAGGUGGUUUGUCGCGUCGUCUGUGAAAUUCUGGGGCUUAACUCCGGGCGUGCAGGCGAUACGGGCAUAACUUGAGUGCUGUAGGGGUAACUGGAAUUCCUGGUGUAGCGGUGAAAUGCGCAGAUAUCAGGAGGAACACCGAUGGCGAAGGCAGGUUACUGGGCAGUUACUGACGCUGAGGAGCGAAAGCAUGGGUAGCGAACAGGAUUAGAUACCCUGGUAGUCCAUGCCGUAAACGGUGGGCGCUAGGUGUGAGGGUCUUUCUACGACUUUCGUGCCGUAGCUAACGCAUUAAGCGCCCCGCCUGGGGAGUACGGCCGCAAGGCUAAAACUCAAAGGAAUUGACGGGGGCCCGCACAAGCGGCGGAGCAUGUGGAUUAAUUCGAUGCAACGCGAAGAACCUUACCUGGGCUUGACAUACA